CAGAGGGGGCAAGCGUUGUUCGGAAUUACUGGGCGUAAAGGGCGCGUAGGCGGCCUGUUAAGUCGAACGUGAAAUCCCCGGGCUCAACCCGGGAACUGCGUCCGAUACUGGCAGGCUCGAAUUCGGGAGAGGGAUGUGGAAUUCCAGGUGUAGCGGUGAAAUGCGUAGAUAUCUGGAGGAACACCGGUGGCGAAGGCGGCAUCCUGGACCGACAUUGACGCUGAGGCGCGAAAGCCAGGGGAGCAAACGGGAUUAGAUACCCCGGUAGUCCUGGCCCUAAACGAUGAAUGCUUGGUGUAGCGGGUAUCGAUCCCUGCUGUGCCGAAGCUAACGCAUUAAGCAUUCCGCCUGGGGAGUACGGUCGCAAGGCUG
This 372-nucleotide ribosomal RNA is filed under the name uncultured organism. RNAcentral's name for it is "bacterial SSU rRNA". It matches the Rfam family "Bacterial small subunit ribosomal RNA", at positions 526 to 896 of the family's 1533-position model. The record is from RNAcentral.